Molecule: ribosomal RNA, 637 nt
Filed under: Escherichia coli
Lineage: Bacteria; Pseudomonadati; Pseudomonadota; Gammaproteobacteria; Enterobacterales; Enterobacteriaceae
Description: partial 23S ribosomal RNA
Rfam family: Bacterial large subunit ribosomal RNA
Source: RNAcentral
UUUGACUGGGGCGGUCUCCUCCUAAAGAGUAACGGAGGAGCACGAAGGUUGGCUAAUCCUGGUCGGACAUCAGGAGGUUAGUGCAAUGGCAUAAGCCAGCUUGACUGCGAGCGUGACGGCGCGAGCAGGUGCGAAAGCAGGUCAUAGUGAUCCGGUGGUUCUGAAUGGAAGGGCCAUCGCUCAACGGAUAAAAGGUACUCCGGGGAUAACAGGCUGAUACCGCCCAAGAGUUCAUAUCGACGGCGGUGUUUGGCACCUCGAUGUCGGCUCAUCACAUCCUGGGGCUGAAGUAGGUCCCAAGGGUAUGGCUGUUCGCCAUUUAAAGUGGUACGCGAGCUGGGUUUAGAACGUCGUGAGACAGUUCGGUCCCUAUCUGCCGUGGGCGCUGGAGAACUGAGGGGGGCUGCUCCUAGUACGAGAGGACCGGAGUGGACGCAUCACUGGUGUUCGGGUUGUCAUGCCAAUGGCACUGCCCGGUAGCUAAAUGCGGAAGAGAUAAGUGCUGAAAGCAUCUAAGCACGAAACUUGCCCCGAGAUGAGUUCUCCCUGACUCCUUGAGAGUCCUGAAGGAACGUUGAAGACGACGACGUUGAUAGGCCGGGUGUGUAAGCGCAGCGAUGCGUUGAGCUAACCGGUA